RNAcentral lists this ribosomal RNA (254 nucleotides) under uncultured bacterium. RNAcentral's name for it is "partial 16S ribosomal RNA". It matches the Rfam family "Bacterial small subunit ribosomal RNA", at positions 524 to 776 of the family's 1533-position model. The record is from RNAcentral.
UACGAAGGGGGCUAGCGUUGCUCGGAAUCACUGGGCGUAAAGGGCGCGCAGGCGGCCGCUCAAGUCAGAUGUGAAAGCCCCGGGCUCAACCUGGGAACUGCAUUUGAUACUGAGUGGCUAGAGUUCGGGAGAGGAGAGUGGAAUUCCCAGUGUAGAGGUGAAAUUCGUAGAUAUUGGGAAGAACACCGGUGGCGAAGGCGGCUCUCUGGACCGAUACUGACGCUGAGGCGCGAAAAGCGUGGGGAGCAAACAGG